AGUGAACGCUGGCGGUAGGCCUAACACACGCAAGUCGAACGGCAGCACAGUAAGAGCUUGCUCUUACGGGUGGCGAGUGGCGGACGGGUGAGGAAUACAUCGGAAUCUACUUUUUCGUGGGGGAUAACGUAGGGAAACUUACGCUAAUACCGCAUACGACCUACGGGUGAAAGCAGGGGAUCUUCGGACCUUGCGCGAUUGAAUGAGCCGAUGUCGGAUUAGCUAGUUGGCGGGGUAAAGGCCCACCAAGGCGACGAUCCGUAGCUGGUCUGAGAGGAUGAUCAGCCACACUGGAACUGAGACACGGUCCAGACUCCUACGGGAGGCAGCAGUGGGGAAUAUUGGACAAUGGGCGCAAGCCUGAUCCAGCAAUACCGCGUGGGUGAAGAAGGCCUUCGGGUUGUAAAGCCCUUUUGUUGGGAAAGAAAAGCAGCAGGUUAAUACCCCGCUGUUCUGACGGUACCCAAAGAAUAAGCACCGGCUAACUUCGUG
RNAcentral lists this ribosomal RNA (492 nucleotides) under uncultured bacterium. Its description in RNAcentral is "partial 16S ribosomal RNA". It matches the Rfam family "Bacterial small subunit ribosomal RNA", at positions 29 to 507 of the family's 1533-position model. The record is from RNAcentral.